AGUAAUGUGCCCGAUUUUUAAGGAUUACAGUGAUAAAGUAAAUUAAGUAUAACAAUUUUAUACCUUUACUA
Molecule: transfer RNA, 71 nt
Filed under: Petrobius brevistylis
Lineage: Eukaryota; Metazoa; Arthropoda; Insecta; Archaeognatha; Machilidae
Description: tRNA-Ile
Source: RNAcentral